Molecule: ribosomal RNA, 717 nt
Filed under: Hypoxylon fendleri
Lineage: Eukaryota; Fungi; Ascomycota; Sordariomycetes; Xylariales; Hypoxylaceae
Description: eukaryotic LSU rRNA
Rfam family: Eukaryotic large subunit ribosomal RNA
Source: RNAcentral
GGUGCCUUCUGAGUUCCCUGGAACGGGACGCCAGAGAGGGUGAGAGCCCCGUACGGUUGGCCGCCGAACCUAUAUAUAGCUCCUUCGACGAGUCGAGUAGUUUGGGAAUGCUGCUCUAAAUGGGAGGUAAAUUUCUUCUAAAGCUAAAUACCGGCCAGAGACCGAUAGCGCACAAGUAGAGUGAUCGAAAGAUGAAAAGCACUUUGAAAAGAGGGUUAAAUAGCACGUGAAAUUGUUGAAAGGGAAGCGUUUGCGACCAGACUUUUUCCUGUCGGAUCAUCCGGUGUUCUCACCGGUGCACUUCGGCAGGUUUAGGCCAGCAUCGGUUCUCUUAGGGGGAUAAAGGCCUUGGGAACGUAGCUCUUUAGGGAGUGUUAUAGCCCCUGGCGUAAUACCCUUCGGGGGACCGAGGAUCGCGCUCUGCAAGGAUGCUGGCGUAAUGGUCGUCAACGACCCGUCUUGAAACACGGACCAAGGAGUCGAACAUUUGUGCGAGUGUUUGGGUGUCAAACCCUCACGCGUAAUGAAAGUGAACGGAGGUGAGAGCCUUAGGGCGCAUCAUCGACCGAUCCUGAUGUCUUCGGAUGGAUUUGAGUAAGAGCAUAACUGUUCGGACCCGAAAGAUGGUGAACUAUGCGUGGAUAGGGUGAAGCCAGAGGAAACUCUGGUGGAGGCUCGCAGCGGUUCUGACGUGCAAAUCGAUCGUCAAAUCUGCGC